The submitters of this non-coding RNA (61 nucleotides) gave its source as unclassified sequences. The record is from Rfam.
UCCUUAAUGCAGCCUUCCGCCAGGAAGCCGGUCACAAGCCCGGAGGAAUGCAGAGUGAGGA